GCCGACAUACACCGUAAUUGGUAGCGGACCGGUCCAGAAAACCGGAGCCAUCCGUGGUCUGUGGGUUCGAGUCCUACUGUCGGCGCCA
Molecule: transfer RNA, 88 nt
Filed under: Caudoviricetes sp.
Lineage: Duplodnaviria; Heunggongvirae; Uroviricota; Caudoviricetes
Description: tRNA-Ser
Rfam family: tRNA
About the family: Transfer RNA (tRNA) molecules are approximately 80 nucleotides in length. Their secondary structure includes four short double-helical elements and three loops (D, anti-codon, and T loops).
Source: RNAcentral